RNAcentral lists this transfer RNA (39 nucleotides) under Leposoma nanodactylus. RNAcentral's name for it is "partial tRNA-Ser". The record is from RNAcentral. Lineage: Eukaryota; Metazoa; Chordata; Lepidosauria; Squamata; Gymnophthalmidae.
AAGGCUGACAUACGCGUGUUGCUAACACGCAAACCCAGA